GGUGAGGUGGAGCCCUGCACGCUCUGAGC
This 29-nucleotide non-coding RNA is filed under the name Homo sapiens (human). Lineage: Eukaryota; Metazoa; Chordata; Mammalia; Primates; Hominidae. The record is from RNAcentral.